CCUCGGGGGUUCUCGGGGAACUUGCUGGUCUUGCGGUGGGCCAGCUUCCGUUCCACCUCCAUCAUGCUCUUCGUCGACGGUUCUGUGGUGCGUGGACCUCGAGAGUCAUUGACUGAAGCCGGGGAGGAUGAGGUACGAGGUGGGGAGUGGGCGUUGUGUGGAGGACAGUGGGGGACAGGCAGGUUCUGGGUUGGGGAAUUAUGCAUUCGGGAAGGGGGAUGGGGGGCACCCUGGGCGAUGUGGGUGGUGCUUGAGGGAGAAGGCCGUCUUGGGAGCAGGUGUGCCCAUGGCUCCGAUAGGGGUGGAGGUCUGGAGGGGUGCUCCUGCAAACGCCAUGCUGAGAGGCUCUGGGUCCUGGGUCGACUGGGGGGGCUCAGUGGAGAGUGGGACU
Molecule: long non-coding RNA, 391 nt
Filed under: Homo sapiens (human)
Lineage: Eukaryota; Metazoa; Chordata; Mammalia; Primates; Hominidae
Description: non-protein coding lnc-OPLAH-2:1
Source: RNAcentral